GAUGAACGCUAGCGGCAGGCCUAACACAUGCAAGUCGAGGGGCAGCACAGAAACAGCAAUGUUUUGGUGGCGACCGGCGGACGGGUGCGUAACGCGUAUGCAACCUACCUUUAACAGGGGGAUAACGGAGAGAAAUUUCCACUAAUACCCCAUAACAUCGAUCAAGGCAUCUUGAUUGGUUGAAAACUCGGGUGGUUAACGAUGGGCAUUCGUUGUAUUAGGUAGUUGGUGAGGUAAUGGCUCACCCAGCCUACGAUACAUAGGGGGACUGAGAGGUUAGCCCCCCACACUGGUACUGAGACACGGACCAGACUCCUACGGGAGGCAGCAGUGAGGAAUAUUGGUCAAUGGGGGCAACCCUGAACCAGCCAUGCCGCGUGCAGGAAGACGGCUCUAUGAGUUGUAAACUGCUUUUAAACAGGGAUAAAGCACAGUAUGUAUACUGUGUUGAAGGUACUGUAAGAAUAAGGAUCGGCUAACUCCGUGCCAGCCGCCGCCGUAA
Molecule: ribosomal RNA, 502 nt
Filed under: uncultured bacterium
Lineage: Bacteria
Description: partial 16S ribosomal RNA
Rfam family: Bacterial small subunit ribosomal RNA
Source: RNAcentral